Molecule: ribosomal RNA, 253 nt
Filed under: uncultured bacterium
Lineage: Bacteria
Description: partial 16S ribosomal RNA
Rfam family: Bacterial small subunit ribosomal RNA
Source: RNAcentral
UACGUAGGGGCCUAGCGUUGUCCGGAUUUAUUGGGCGUAAAGAGCGCGCAGGCGGUCGAUCAAGUCGAGUGUGAAAGCCCCCGGCUCAACUGGGGAGGGUCAUUCGAUACUGAUCGACUCGAAGGCAGGAGAGGGUAGUGGAAUUCCCGGUGUAGUGGUGAAAUGCGUAGAUAUCGGGAGGAACACCAGUGGCGAAGGCGACUACCUGGCCUGUUCUUGACGCUGAGGCGCGAAAGCUAGGGGAGCAAACGGG